This is a long non-coding RNA of Tarenaya hassleriana, 891 nucleotides long. RefSeq lists it as uncharacterized. Lineage: Eukaryota; Viridiplantae; Streptophyta; Magnoliopsida; Brassicales; Cleomaceae. The transcript is spliced from 7 exons. The record is from RefSeq and is a predicted model, not a curated record.
ACGCGCCGUUUUCUGUCGCUGGGAGGCGGUUGGCUUACACGCGCUUUGCCGGAAUCGCCUCGGAUAAGAUUCUAUUCAAUGCGACCAACUUCCGGGCUCCUGAUCUCGCCGUGACUCGGUUGGCUCGCCGGUCUCGGCCGUUGAUACUCUGAUUCGACUCUUGUUGACUCGGUUUCGUAUAUCGGUACCAUUACAUUUGCGUUAAUCUGAUUGUUGGUUAAACUGUGAUUCUGAACAAUUAAACGAUGGAGCCGAUGGAUAUAGUUGGGAAGUCCCAAAAGGUUUGAAUUUCUCGAUGCAACAAUGAGAAGAAAAGCUUCAUAUUUGAGGAUGUUAGCUACGAUGACGAAAAUUAUAAAGGAGAUGUUACCACCCGGUGUUCGAGUUGCUAGAGGUGCUCAGGAUCUUCUGAUACAGGGUUGUGUAGGUGAAGAUCAUCCUUCGGAUUCCUCAACUUCCGAGUUUAUAAAUCUAGUUUCCUCGGAGUCUAGGAGUUAAGCAUAUAGCUAGGGUUCCUUCUUCGAACCUUUUGGUAUGUAUUGCCCCAUAACUAUAGAUCAGAUCCACCAGACGAGAAACUGAAGUUUGUAACAAAGAGGAUAAACGGACAGUUGCACCCGAGCAUGUCCUUAGGGCGUUACAGGAUCUUGGAUUCGGAGAAUACAUGGAGGAAGUUUAUGCGGCAUACUAGCAACAUAAGUCUGAAACUAUGCAGGACUCACAGAGAGGCGGGAAGUGGAACAGCGUGGCUGAAAUGGCGGGGGAAGAUGCGGGCCGUCGAACAACAGCGUAUGUUUGCAGAAGCUCGUGCCAGGAUGAACAGUCGGUAAUUCUUCAUUUCCGAUUCAACCCGAAAACCGACCUGAGACAUGAGUCUUCGGAUCUAAUCGA